RNAcentral lists this ribosomal RNA (253 nucleotides) under uncultured bacterium. RNAcentral describes it as "partial 16S ribosomal RNA". It matches the Rfam family "Bacterial small subunit ribosomal RNA", at positions 524 to 776 of the family's 1533-position model. The record is from RNAcentral.
UACGUAGGAUGCAAGCGUUGUCCGGAAUUAUUGGGCGUAAAGAGCGAGCAGGCGGUUCGUCAAGUCAGAUGUGAAAUAUCCCGGCUUAACCGGGAGGGGCCAUUUGAAACUGACGGACUAGAGUGGAGCAGAGGACAGUGGAAUUCCCGGUGUAGUGGUGAAAUGCGUAGAUAUCGGGAGGAGCACCAGUGGCGAAGGCGACUGUCUGGGCUUUAACUGACGCUGAGGCGCGAAGGCCGGGGGAGCAAACAGG